This is a long non-coding RNA of Suricata suricatta (meerkat), 1026 nucleotides long. RefSeq lists it as uncharacterized. The record is from RefSeq and is a predicted model, not a curated record. NCBI's taxonomy places the organism in Eukaryota, Metazoa, Chordata, Mammalia, Carnivora, Herpestidae. The transcript is spliced from 2 exons.
UUAAAAGGAGGAACAAAGUCGUCAGCCAAAGGAUAGUGAAAAUUUUCAGGUUUCUGGAAACCUGACUUGGAAGGAAGAGGCAUUAAAAAGUUGGGACCUCUUAACUUUGAAGAACUAAACUUGAAGAAGUAAUUACUGAAUCAAAUUCGGUCUAGAGUUAGGACCUGGGGAUGUGCUCCAAAGUUCUCUAUCCCCACCCUGGUCUGUUAUAACAUUUUAAGUGGCAGGUGGACUUAACAGCACCAGCCCUGGAGAUGAUGGUGCUGGCAAAGACCUCACUGGUCACCAGGACGAGUCUGUCGGAUCAAUGCCUGUGGCUCUGUAGAGGGGCUUACCAAGAGGAGCUGGCCUAUUCUCAAGCACAGAUGAGAGCUGAGCAGCCGUGCAGAUGGCCCAGGAUGAUGACAACAUCCCCAGUGUACAGAACAUGGAUGGCGACAUAUCUGGAGAGUGACCAGAGUGAGACUCUCACCAUGAAACUCCCAGGGGGAGAGACACUCACUCAUCUUCUGCCUUGCACCCAAGGUCACUGAGCACUGGUAGCCAUAGCGAAUAAAGGGAUGAGGGGAGCAAAUCUGACCUUUCUCCUGGACAUUCUGAAAAAUGAGGGGCCCCCUAGGACCCUGAAGCCAUCCAAGCCAACCUGCUUCAUGGUAAUCUACAUGAAGAACCCAUAAUGCAUUACUUUGUGGGAGCAUUUUCUUUCUUCCACUAAUGCUUUGAGUUUCAAUCUAAGAGGUGCCUGUGACAGUUGGUUGGGCACAGAGAGCCAACAUCCUCAGAGUAUGACUUCUUUUGCCUGGAUUAGAGGUAGCAAUAAGAACUCAGGAGGCUUUGCAGGGCCCAGCCUGAGAGGCGGUUGACAGAAUAGAACUCAUGAGAAGACCUCUGGUUGGACUGAAGCUGAGCAUUGUGGAGUCAGUAUUGAUGAAGCCAGGGUGACCCUGCAGAAGAGGCAUCUCCAGAAAUAAAGGGUGUGGCUGUUGUUGGUCAGAUCUCCAGGCGAAACACCUUCUCACAUCCUCA